GGUGGCUCAGUGGUAGAGAGCUUGCCUUGCAUGCAUGAAACUCUGGGUUCAAUUCCUCAGCACCA
Dipodomys ordii (Ord's kangaroo rat) is the source of this 65-nucleotide non-coding RNA. Lineage: Eukaryota; Metazoa; Chordata; Mammalia; Rodentia; Heteromyidae. The record is from Rfam.